Molecule: long non-coding RNA, 752 nt
Organism: Pogonomyrmex barbatus (red harvester ant)
Lineage: Eukaryota; Metazoa; Arthropoda; Insecta; Hymenoptera; Formicidae
Source: RefSeq, a predicted model, not a curated record
UCAGUGAACCAGUCGGCGGCAAUAACAUCUUCGCGAAUGAAGACGUUAAAUCGCAAGGCAGCAAAAAACGAAGAGAAAUAAAGGAAACAACGUAAAAUCAAAGCGUGCUCGACACGAUAUUCCGUGUUCCGAGGCUUUUCUUCCAUCCUUGUAACCGUGCGUCUCCGCAAGAGUCGGUGCAAGGCUUUCACCUAAGGCGGGGGACUCCCGUUCAUGGCUUCUUCCCCUACUGUCUCUCUCCCACCGAGGAGCACCCAGUUUCAGCAUAAUCUAGCCGAGUGACUUCUUUGGUGCCGCGAGAAGCUGCCGCGUGCCUGACGUACCUACGCCUGCGAGAACGUGAGGAGUCAUUGGAACGCUAAGACGUGGCUGUGUGAAGUUGUUCAGCAGUUCCCAAACCGGCGCGAAAUAAAGAUACAUACAGGGUGGUCCACAUUUACCAACGAUUCCACUAGCAGAACAAGCCACGAAGUGACGAAGGAUAAAAUAGUCUGAUGGGGAUAUGAAUCGGAUCUGCGAAUCCAAAUUAGUACUCGCGUAGCUUCCAUUAAUGGUGCAGAUCCAUGAGUUUGUUUCAACUAUGGCUAUGUAUAAAUAGUGAAUGUAUUCUAUUUUAACGAAUGAUCUUUGAUUGGAAAUUAUUUUUAAAAUGUAAUAAAAAAAAAGAAAUUUUAUUUUAAAUCUUGUCAUGUAUAAUUGUUCUUGCAUUUAAUGAACUUCAGUAUCUAAGCAUUCACAAAAUUGAGGAAAAA